UUUAGAUAGCGUUGGCUCGCCGCAGAGACAUCGCCGGCUCGCCACCGUGAGUUAUAGAGGUGGCGGGAGCAGCGAAGGGGCCGAGCGCUGCCGUGUGUCGUGCGACAGCCACACCGUAGGUAGCCACUCACGGCAACUACGCGCACGCACGCACCGGCCGCCGUCGCGCCGCGAGCUUCGCCUGUCCGCGCACUGCCGCAACCACACGUGAGUUCUUCCAACACGCACCGCCCAUGGUCGACCUGUGAGCCACACAUGCACCGCCGCGAAGCGCUGCUUGAUCCCCUCCAUGGACUCGUGCUCGCCGUCGCAGUCCGUCGCCCUAGCCGCGGAGAGGGCCAAGAUCCGUGGAGCUGCUCGUGGAGUGAGUAUAUCGUCCCCGUGCAUGUCUGGUGGGGUAUCGUUUGGUUGGGGCGUUGGGCGGCAGGGAUGGCGAAUUCCUCCUCAGGUGUCGGCGUGUCGCAGUUCCGUUCCUUUGCUUCACUCACUGUUUCUGGUCGUCGUGUGUUUCCUUGGUUUGUUAUGCCUGAAUUGAGCUUCUCUGCAGAAUAAUGAGGUUGAUGCUAACAUGUACUACUUCAGUACUUUACUUGUUUCUUAGUAAGAAUAGUGAUUAAAUUCUUGUAAUUCGAGGCAGCCCUAGCUACUUGAAAAAUGUAACUUUUAUUAGUAUUGCUGUCUAGCUUGAUGGAUUGGUGCAUUUGUUGUGCCUGACAGAAAAUUUCUAAUUUUGGUAGUUUGGUCGAUACAUUAUCUUUCCCUUUUGGAUGUUCGUGAAUUCCGACAUGUCCAAUGGGGAAACAAAUGCUCAAUUUAGUUACCUUACCUCAAAUUCAGUUUUACCUGUUCAAUUAUCACAUUGUGUUUUAUCUUCAAUUUCUCACAGUUAUGCGACCCUGGCUGUAGUUUGCUGAAGCUUGUUGCAGGAGGGCAUGGAAAAAACUAACUCUUCCCCCUCCCCCUCCCGAGUCGCCCCCCGCGUGGGCGGCCGGGAGGCCCCCAGAUCCCGUCAGCCGGCCCUCCCCCACUCCUCCUCCUCCCUCGCCGCCGCCCAAGGGCGCGGCCAGGCGAAGCCUGGUCGUUGCCGGCGGCGGCGGGGACUCGGGCCCUCUCGCUUGCAUGGGGCUGGCGCGGGCCGGCGCCCCCGGGCCGGAGCGUGGCG
This 1162-nucleotide long non-coding RNA is filed under the name Triticum aestivum (bread wheat). RNAcentral's name for it is "long non-coding RNA (TAES_LNC018254)". Lineage: Eukaryota; Viridiplantae; Streptophyta; Magnoliopsida; Poales; Poaceae. The record is from RNAcentral.